This 506-nucleotide ribosomal RNA is filed under the name uncultured bacterium. RNAcentral's name for it is "partial 16S ribosomal RNA". It matches the Rfam family "Bacterial small subunit ribosomal RNA", at positions 29 to 523 of the family's 1533-position model. The record is from RNAcentral.
AGUGAACGCUGGCGGUAGGCCUAACACAUGCAAGUCGAACGGCAGCACAGGAGAGCUUGCUCUCUGGGUGGCGAGUGGCGGACGGGUGAGGAAUACAUCGGAAUCUACUCUGUCGUGGGGGAUAACGUAGGGAAACUUACGCUAAUACCGCAUACGACCUACGGGUGAAAGCAGGGGCCCUUCGGGCCUUGCGCGAUUGAAAGAGCCGAUGUCGGCUUUGCUAGUUGGCGGGGGAAAGGCCCACCAAGGCGACGAUCCGUCGCUGGUCUGAGAGGAUGAUCGGCCACACUGGCCUUGAGACACGGUCCAGACUCCUACGGGAGGGAGCAGUGGGGGAUAUUGGACAAUGGGCGCAAGCCUGUACCAGCCAUACCGCGUGGGUGAAGAAUGCCUUCGGGUUGUAAAGCCCUUUUGUUGGGAAAGAAAUCCAGCUGGCUAAUAGCCGGUUAGGAUGACGGUACCCAAAGAAUAAGCACCGGCUAACUUCGUGCCAGCAGCCGCGGUAA